UCUGACAGAUGCUACACUGUAAAAAAUUACUGAUGCAAAAAGUUGUACAAAUGAGGGAAUACAUGUUGGCUCAACAUAAUGGUUGUGUCAAAAAAGAAAAAUAUGUUUGGUCAAUGAUUGCAUGAUUUCCAUGACUGUACUACAAAAUGUUCAUCAAGAGAAAAUAAAUAAUUGUGUUGACAGAACUUUUAACGUUGCACAAAAAAUAUUAUGUUGGCCGAGCAAGAAGGAAGAGCUUCAAUCGUCUGAGCAUGCGCAAAGGAGUUCUACCAGGCGCCUCCUGGAAUUUCCCCCACCACGAGUCACGACAUUGCAGUGGUGAGUGCUUUGUGCUGCGAGACCACAGAUCUAACUUAUAGAAGGUCUGCUGUUCUUCGUGGUCUUCCCCUGUACUUGAGAGAGAGCCAGCUUCAAUUUCAAAGACCAUUAAGGAUACUGAGGCACUGGGGCCACACACAAAGGCCAUGAAAAUGGGGAUCCUGGAAGUGACUGACAGUUCUACCAACUCAGGACCAUAUCCCACAGUGGUCAAUGUGGCUGUAGUACUGGAGGAGGAAGUUGUCAUGGACAAUCUGGGAGACUUCACAAAAGAGUGCACAGCAAGGAUACAGUCCUUGAAAAACAAGUUAUUACAGGUGUAAUGGUCAUUACAUGUCAGUCAUUGAGGUAUUUUGAGGUAUCAAAGGUUUCAUGCAAAAGUUUCUGUUAAUGCCAGUGACUUUUUUUUGUUGAAUUUUUGUAACUGCUCAGGAACUUGUUGAUUACUUUUUUCAAAUGUUUACAGGCAAAGCUGUUGUCAUGUUUUACUGAGUUUCAUUUUGUAAAGCAGAUAUUUGUUUUUCCAGUACAACUAUUGACUAAGAGUGAUAUGUCAUGCUUUCUUGAACUCUCAGAUCUUGUUUCGGCACUGGCUGAAUACUUGUGUAAUAUUUUACUUGAGCCUAACAGGCAAGUUCAUAUGUAUUUAAAUAAAUACAUAAAAUGUUCUUUA
Long non-coding RNA from Cyprinus carpio carpio, 991 nucleotides. The record is from Ensembl. Lineage: Eukaryota; Metazoa; Chordata; Actinopteri; Cypriniformes; Cyprinidae.